RNAcentral lists this small RNA (137 nucleotides) under Intestinirhabdus alba. RNAcentral describes it as "RtT sRNA". It matches the Rfam family "RtT RNA". Rfam says of the family: This family represents a bacterial cis-regulatory element known as RtT RNA. The exact function of RtT is unknown although it is thought that it may be involved in changing the cellular response in relation to amino acid starvation. The record is from RNAcentral. Lineage: Bacteria; Pseudomonadati; Pseudomonadota; Gammaproteobacteria; Enterobacterales; Enterobacteriaceae.
UGCAUUCCCCGGACGGGGGGGAUGAGAACCCCCGACCGGGGUUCGACAGCUGGCGCAGCCAGCUGGACAGACCGCGCACGCAGUAAGCGGGCUGCCCGUAGGGCGAGCGAAGCGAGUCAAUCCCCCCCUCACCGCCA